UUUCUGAGUGGGCUCAGGAGGCAGGUCAAAGCUCAGCAAGCUAUCUCCAAUAUUGUGACCAGCUUAUAGACCACCAGUGGGGGUUCCUUGAAGAGAUUCGUUGAACCAUGCAUAACUGGCUAUAUGGCAGACCAUUCUUGAGGGGAAGGGGAUGCAUACUAUCCACACAUAGCAAGAUGUUCUUCACACUCUCAACUUUGGGGUGGGAGGUGACACAACAUAGAAUGCCUUGUGGAGAACGAGCAAUGGAGAGUUGGCCCACAUCAGCCCAAAGGUUGUGGUGCUGUGGGUGGGAACCCAUAAUCACGGUCACACUGCAGAACAGAUCUGUGGAGGCAUUAUGGCCAUAGUCCAACUCAUCAAGGACAAGCUGUCGAAGGCUUACACUCUCGUACUGGGGUUCCUGAACUGAUGUACAAAGUUCAGGUGUCAGUGCCACUACAGUGGAGGACCCAGGGAGAGUUGGAGACCAGAUCAACCCCCCCACAGACACCAUGACAGACUGUGUGACUGUAAGGGUGCGUUAUUAGGAAGUCAUUGCUAUUUGUCCAGGAGGAGGAGAGAGGGUUUGAGUGGAGGCUGCCUCUGCCAGGAGUCUGCCAAAUCCUACCGCAAGCCCAGGAAGGCCUUUGUGGAAAUGUGCCUAAGGAAAGGAUUCCAGAAUCAGUGGAAAUGCCAGAAGAUCAUGGAAAGAGUAGAGAGGUCAAAGAGUGAUCAAGGCAAAAAGAGUUGACCUUUAAUCUCAUGUUGCUCGCUCAAGAACCAUGACUCGUUUUUUUAUAAAAAUGUAUUAGAUAAUUAUA
Oncorhynchus kisutch (coho salmon) is the source of this 803-nucleotide long non-coding RNA. RefSeq lists it as uncharacterized. The record is from RefSeq and is a predicted model, not a curated record. NCBI's taxonomy places the organism in Eukaryota, Metazoa, Chordata, Actinopteri, Salmoniformes, Salmonidae. The transcript has 7 exons.